RNAcentral lists this transfer RNA (68 nucleotides) under Cypraea tigris. RNAcentral's name for it is "tRNA-Thr". It matches the Rfam family "tRNA". Rfam says of the family: Transfer RNA (tRNA) molecules are approximately 80 nucleotides in length. Their secondary structure includes four short double-helical elements and three loops (D, anti-codon, and T loops). Further hydrogen bonds mediate the characteristic L-shaped molecular structure. tRNAs have two regions of fundamental functional importance: the anti-codon, which is responsible for specific mRNA codon recognition, and the 3' end, to which the tRNAs corresponding amino acid is attached (by aminoacyl-tRNA synthetases). tRNAs cope with the degeneracy of the genetic code in two manners: having more than one tRNA (with a specific anti-codon) for a particular amino acid; and 'wobble' base-pairing, i.e. permitting non-standard base-pairing at the 3rd anti-codon position. The record is from RNAcentral. Lineage: Eukaryota; Metazoa; Mollusca; Gastropoda; Littorinimorpha; Cypraeidae.
GCAAUAAUAGCUUAACUAUAGAGCAUUGGUCUUGUAAGCCAAAGGUGGAUAAAAUUGUCCUUAUUGCU